UCAAGAGAUCCAUUAGCUGACAGGCGUCUCUCUCUCACACUGCAUCAUCUAUUCAUUACUGAAGAAAGGCACAAGAUGUCCCACCAGAUAGUUGGGGUGAUUCUAGUCUGUCUUCACAUGACUGCCUCAGACGAAGGGAUACAAAUCCUGCAAAGCCCAGCACAGAUGUGGAGGACCCCUGGACAGACCGCACAGCUGGACUGUAGCCCUUCAAAAAAAGAAUGGAGCAUUGUGUGGUACAAAGAACAGCACAGUGGAAGUUUACAAUGGAUUUACCAGAGUUCUCGGUAUGCAACUUCAAAUGGAAAAUACUCGAGUAAAGUGGACCUUACGGCAAAUAAUUUCUCUCUUGCUAUCAGUAAUGUACAAAGAAAUGACUCGGGGAUUUAUUACUGUGGCCUCUCUGCUUCUGUGUAUGUACAGCCCAACUUUGGGACUGGGACCAGACUAAUUGUCACAGAUGCCUCCGAGCCGAGUCUUUCCAUUCUGGUUCCCUCCACCCCAGAGGAUGCUGAGCUUCCCCCCGUCAUUCCUCUGCUCUGCCUGCUGUCUGAUUUCACUCCUCCCUGGAGUGCUGUUCUCUGGGACACUGGUGAGGAGGCAUCUGAGGGUCAGACGGAUGCUGGAGCCAUAGACGGGAAUGGGGUCUUUAGUGUUUGGAGCCUAAUGACAAUCCCUUCUGAGACGUGGAACCAGAAAACGAUCUGCAAUUGCACAGCCAAGGACAGCAGCACAGGGAGAAGCAUCAGUGCUACAGUCUCCAAGGAAACAGGUCCAGUAUUGUAUCACCCAAUCUAACCUGCCUACCUGGG
Non-coding RNA from Trachemys scripta elegans, 812 nucleotides. The record is from the annotation of a RefSeq genome assembly. Lineage: Eukaryota; Metazoa; Chordata; Testudines; Emydidae.